CCCGCUCAGAUUGAACGCUGGCGGCAUGCCUUACACAUGCAAGUCGAACGGCAGCACGGGUGCUUGCACCUGGUGGCGAGUGGCGAACGGGUGAGUAAUACAUCGGAACAUGUCCUGUAGUGGGGGAUAGCCCGGCGAAAGCCGGAUUAAUACCGCAUACGAUCUACGGAUGAAAGCGGGGGACCUUCGGGCCUCGCGCUAUAGGGUUGGCCGAUGGCUGAUUAGCUAGUUGGUGGGGUAAAGGCCUACCAAGGCGACGAUCAGUAGCUGGUCUGAGAGGACGACCAGCCACACUGGGACUGAGACACGGCCCAGACUCCUACGGGAGGCAGCAGUGGGGAAUUUUGGACAAUGGGCGAAAGCCUGAUCCAGCAAUGCCGCGUGUGUGAAGAAGGCCUUCGGGUUGUAAAGCACUUUUUGUCCGGAAAGAAAUCCUUGGCUCUAAUACAGUCGGGGGAUGACGGUACCGGAAGAAUAAGCACCGGCUAAACUACGUGCCAGCAGCCGCGGUAAUACGUAGGGUGCGAGCGUUAAUCGGAAUUUACUGGGCGUAAAAGCGUGCGCAGGCGGUUUUGCUAAGACCGAUGUGAAAUCCCCGGGGCUCAACCUGGGAAACUGCAUUGGUGACUGGCAGGCUAGAGUAUGGCAGAGGGGGGGUAAAAAUUCCCACGUGUAGCAUGAAAAUGCGUAGAGAAUUGUGGAGAAAAUACCGUGGGGGAAAGGCAGCCCCCUGGGGCCAAUAAUUUGGACCUUUUUGGCCAAAAAAAGGGGGGG
RNAcentral lists this ribosomal RNA (774 nucleotides) under Leptospira kmetyi. RNAcentral describes it as "partial 16S ribosomal RNA". It matches the Rfam family "Bacterial small subunit ribosomal RNA", at positions 19 to 768 of the family's 1533-position model. Lineage: Bacteria; Pseudomonadati; Spirochaetota; Leptospiria; Leptospirales; Leptospiraceae. The record is from RNAcentral.